This 478-nucleotide ribosomal RNA is filed under the name uncultured bacterium. Its description in RNAcentral is "partial 16S ribosomal RNA". It matches the Rfam family "Bacterial small subunit ribosomal RNA", at positions 28 to 507 of the family's 1533-position model. The record is from RNAcentral.
GAUGAACGCUGGCGGCGUGCUUAACACAUGCAAGUCGAACGAGAAGUGAAGACGGAAACCUUCGGGCGGAAGGCUUUAUUUCGAGUGGCGGACGGGUGAGUAACGCGUGGGUAACCUGCCUCAUACAGGGGGAUAACAGUUGGAAACGACUGUUAAUACCGCAUAAGACCACAGCACCGCAUGGUGCGGGAGUAAAAACUCCGGUGGUAUGAGAUGGACCCGCGUUCGAUUAGCCAGUUGGCGGGGUAACGGCCCACCAAAGCGACGAUCGAUAGCCGAUCUGAGAGGAUGACCGGCCACAUUGGGACUGAGACACGGCCCAAACUCCUACGGGAGGCAGCAGUGGGGAAUAUUGCACAAUGGGGGAAACCCUGAUGCAGCGACGCCGCGUGAGUGAAGAAGUAUUUCGGUAUGUAAAGCUCUAUCAGCAGGGAAGAAAAUGACGGUACCUGAGUAAGAAGCCCCGGCUAACUACGUG